This 3224-nucleotide long non-coding RNA is filed under the name Nicotiana tabacum (common tobacco). Its description in RNAcentral is "long non-coding RNA (NTAB_LNC015264)". The record is from RNAcentral. Lineage: Eukaryota; Viridiplantae; Streptophyta; Magnoliopsida; Solanales; Solanaceae.
CAUAUAUAGAGGGAGAAUAUUAUCAUAUUGCAAUAUUAUUCCCUUCCUUGUGAAGGCCUCUUGCUCAAAUGAGUAUUCCACAAUAUUGUCACUCUCCAAAAAUGUUUUAAAGUCUCAUUUCAGUCUCUAGUUAACAUAGCUUGAGAUACUAAUUUGGGCAUGAAGCUUUUGCUAGGAAGGUUGCCCUGCUUUUGUAAAUGUCUAGCUUAGAAUCAGUUUCAUUGAAUAAAAAUUUCAAUAGUAUAGUCCACUGAUUUUCGACCGGCAGACAGGUAUGCAAAUCUUCUACAUUUGAAUAUUCUGAUUUGGAACAUCUAUCUUGGCUGAUAAUGUAUAACAACAAUAAAAUAGUUCUCUCUCUCUAUCUCUAUAUACAAAACCAGGAUUUGGACAAAGAAGGGCCAAAAUAUAAAGAAAUAAACCCACAAAAAAAUCGAGGGAUGUCAAUAUAUAGUAUAUAUACGUAUUAAAAAUACAUGAGGCUCUGCCAAUGCCAGAGAAAGCUCAAACCAGAAGAGGGUCCAGAACUUGAAGGCAUGAAUGCAUAAAUUGUACCACCAAAAGAUUCUAAACUGGCGUUUGUACAUAGAUUUUGGUAGAACUUGAAAAGAGAGUUUUAAAGUUGUGUUGAAAAAUAAUUUUUGGAAGUUGAAACACAUGCAUUUUACUUGAAAAAAUGUUAAAGUUUUGUGAGUGGAAGAAACAAUUUAUCAAAAAACUGGCCCAAACCCGUUUUUGGAACUUGAAAAUUUGUCUUCAAUUUUUUUUUUUAAAGAAAACGGCUGAUAUUCCAUGAACAAAUAAUGUUUUUAAUUUUUUUUUAAUCUAGCCAAAAUCUAUGUCCAAACGGGAGCUAAGAGUCGGGGACGCACUCAGAGACAAAAUUCACUAGGUUCAACUAUACUUGGCCCAUUUUACCAUAAAUAUUUUUUUUUACUUUUUUCGGAAUUAGUGUUUGGCCAUGAAAAUUUCAAUUUUCACUUGAAGUUGAAUUUCUAAAAUUUUGGAAUUUGAAAAACUCCAAAAAGUUAUUUUUUAAAUUUUCACUUCAAAUUACUUGUAUUCAUGUCUAAACACAACUUUUAGUUUUCAAAUAUCAUUUUCACUUGAAAAUAAAAUUCACUUUUUUCGGAAUUUCACAAUAUUUAAUGAGAUGAUUUAUAUAGUCGCACAAAUAUUUAUGAAUUAUUAUAGAGAUCACAAAUUUCAAAAAAAUUAUUUCUUUCGUAAACCUAUGCCUAGUCAAAACGCAUCAAAUAGGAAUAUCAAUGAUCACUUCUGGAUACAUUGUCUCAGAGCGAAAUCCCAAUCUUUCAAGUGUCUUGCAUUUAAUGUAGUCACAGGACGAUAUUUUUAUCCUAUGGUUGAUAUGUAAAAAAGAAAUGAUAAAUGAAUAACUGAAAGACGAAUUAGUCAUAGGACUAUUAUAGCAGGAAUGAUCCGAAGCAUUUACUGUUCCAAGAUGCAGCAUUUGCAGAAAAUUAAGAGAUAGGGCAAGUUGUUGAACGUAUUGAUUCCUUUUUCAGUAGGACAACAAAUUAAAGACAAGAAGGAAUUGAUUUAAGGGAAGUAAUGCAGAGAUGCAUAUAUACGAACUAAAAUUACCUCAUUUUCUGGAAUUUCCUCAAGUCAGGGAGCGUCAUGGUAUUAUCGGUAAAAAGAUGGAGUAAUAGUUUUAUCUCAAAUUUUAUAUAGAGCUUUAAAUCAUUAACGAGUUCACUUAAAUUCAUUUGAAUAUGACUUUUUUGCCACUAUUCUAUAUAAUCACACAACCAUCACCACACCAACCACCUUCAUCGCCAGUUUAUACCACUACAAGUUCCACCGGGGGCGGAUUUAUAUAAUGAGUUCGGGGUGCGACGCCACCCGGAUGUUCGGAGAAGAUUUUAGGUAUAUAUUGAUAUCUUACACAAGAAAAUCUAUAUAACAAAAGAGUGGCACCCUAAAUCACAAAGUGAGAUGUCAUGGUUAAAUUGUCAAUCUCCCCACGCAAGAUACAAGAUCGAGACUUUGCUCAAUUUCCAAGUCAAUUUACUUACCCUUGUUCCCUUUUCAAUCUCUUCUUUUUUGUACCUUUUCUUAGAUUCCUUUAUUUUUUCCAUCUUUGUAUUUGUACAAUCCCAUUUAUAUUAUUUAGAUAAAAUAUAUAUUUGAUUCCUUUUUUUCUUUCUAGAUUUUCAAAUAUUUAUGAUUUUAAUCAUUUCUCUCUUUUUAUCCAUCUAAUAUUAUCUUUUCCUUGAAUUUAUGUUUUGUAGAAUGAUGGGUUGCUCUAGUGUUAAGCACCCUCCACUUCCAACCAAGAGGUUCGAGGGAGGAAGUCGAGGGUCUAUCGGAAACAGCCUCUCUACCCCAGAGUAGGGAUAAGGUCUACGUAUACUACCCUCCACAUACCCCACUAGUGGGAUUAUAUUGGGUUAUUGUUGUUGAUGUUGUAGAAUGAUGGCAUCACUAGACAUAAUAUUAAUCUAGUUAUGAUAGUAGAUUAAAAGAAUUUGUUUGUAUUUAUAUUUUUAAGUCACAUUAACAAAUAGAAUUUGAAUUGAGAGGACUAGAUCGAAUUUAACAAAACUUAUUCAGUUUGGUGAUAAUGUAUUUAUUCAUGCAUAAAAAUCUUGUAAAUCAAACUAACCAAACCGAACCAAUUCGAAUUAAGUCAAAUGGAUCGAAAUGAUUAAAUGCACACUAUAAUUUAAUCUCCUUCACUAAUGGUAGGUUUAGAUAGUGGCACUCGUAGUCAUUAAAUCUUGAAUCCGCCUAUGACUUCCACUACUGCCAAUCACCUCCGCCACCAAUCACUACUACCAACCACCUGCACGACCAAUCUUCUUCGCGCAACCACUGCUAUUGCCAGCCACUAGCUAGUCACUUGAACCACAACCAUCACUACAGUCAACCACCACGAUCAAUAACUACCACCAUGAAUUAACCCCCAACCUUACCACCACUAAUUACCUCUACAACCACCAUCUACCUUUCAUCAUCGAUCACCUAUACCACCAUCAGCUGCCAAUGGCGACCACUGCCAAAAAUCAUCUCUAGUGCCAAUCACCACCUCAUAGUUAUCAUCUCUAGCAAUUGACCUACCAUGAAACCACCAGUCGUCUCUGCACAAUCGCCACUGCCAUCCAUCUCCUUAACUGAAGGGAAAUAACACCAGAAAAUAACGAUAAUAAUAUUGCAAUAAUAUUAUUUGUAAGCAGAUACACGAAUUAGCUUGAGUCGUG